Molecule: ribosomal RNA, 254 nt
Filed under: uncultured bacterium
Lineage: Bacteria
Description: partial 16S ribosomal RNA
Rfam family: Bacterial small subunit ribosomal RNA
Source: RNAcentral
GAUCCUGGCUUAGGAUGAACGCUAGCGGCAGGCUUAACACAUGCAAGUCGAGGGGCAGCGGGGAGUAGCAAUACUCCGCCGGCGACCGGCGCACGGGUGCGUAACGCGUAUGCAACCUACCUUUAACAGGGGCAUAACACUGAGAAAUUGGUACUAAUUCCCCAUAACAUUCGAGAAGGCAUCUUCUUGGGUUAAAAACUCCGGUGGUUAAAGAUGGGCAUGCGUUGUAUUAGCUAGUUGGUGAGGUAACGGCU